CAAGCGAGCUCAUUGGUCGCCCAGACGCCAGAGGGGACACACCGCACUCGCUCGCUCCCCUCCCUUACCCUCGCUCCCUUUACCUGCUUCCCUAUUUUUUUUAUACCUUCGCUCUAGAUUCAUACGUGUUGCCUUACCCUACUACCCUUUACUUACACCACCCUCCCCAGUCCUUAUUUUAUCCGUUCACCGUUCAAAACAAGUGCCAAGGGAAGAAGACGAGGACAAAAAAGUUCUCGUUCACGGCUGAACGUGGGACGACCCGAUCGGUAUAGCGAGGCCAGUGCCUGCGAGGGAGAGGACUCGAGCGGAGGACGAGAACAGAGCUUGCCUGACGUCGAUUGUGGAUGUCGAGUCGACUCUUCACUCCGACAAACAAGGUGGACGCACUCAAAGACACCAACGGCACCGCCAUGUCCGUGGAACCUCAAGUAAUGACAGUAGGCGGCGGCAAGACCUUGGACCCGAACCGCUAUGCCACGAAGAAGACGGUCGCUCAGGGCAUGCUCGACAUCGCCCUCCUGACGGCCAACGCCUCGCAGCUCAAGUACGUCCUCAGGAUCGGCGAGAAACACGAGUUCUACAGCCUUAUGCUCGGCCUCAUCAUCACGUCGCUGAUCCUGCAGCUGGUGGUUGGUGUAUUAUCCGUGAGUUUGUCCAUGCUCCGGGAUUGCCGUCUGCACCUUCCGCAUUACCGUAUAUCUGCAACAGUUAUCAACAACCUCAACGUCAUCCUCGUCUAUCUCAUCACUGUACUAAAUGUCAUCAUCACUGGGUUUGGCAUUUUACCCUCUGAUGUGAAUUUGUCCUUCUGAAGGGGGACGCGUGGCCAAAAAAAGAGAGAGAGAGAGAGAGAAAAUGAAAAAGCUGCUCGUCGGGCUGAUGUCGUUCUCGUUGUCCAUGCUCCGCGACUGCCGGCUGCACCUUCCCCAGUACCGAAUCUCGGCUCUGGUGAUCAACCACGUAAAUAUCAUCUGCGUCUUCAUCAUCACGGCUCUUAACAU
RNAcentral lists this unclassified non-coding RNA (1004 nucleotides) under Penaeus chinensis. Its description in RNAcentral is "ninjurin-1-like, transcript variant X5". Lineage: Eukaryota; Metazoa; Arthropoda; Malacostraca; Decapoda; Penaeidae. The record is from RNAcentral.